Molecule: non-coding RNA, 339 nt
Organism: Anas platyrhynchos (mallard)
Lineage: Eukaryota; Metazoa; Chordata; Aves; Anseriformes; Anatidae
Source: RefSeq, a predicted model, not a curated record
AUGAGCCCCAGGCAUGCUAUCAGAGAGCUCCUUGUGCUUGGGCUGCUCUUUGGGAUGUAUAAACCCACUUGUGUAACUCUCCAGAGGACUAAAACCAGCUUGAUUGAAUGCUACAUAUGGCUUGGCAGCGUAGAUGCGGCGUUACCAAGACACUGAGCAGAGUUGUAUCAGAGUCACCUCUUUCAUCUGCAAAGGUAGAGCGUAAACCUUUGGAGGAACCUGUCACAGGAAAGAGCUCCUUCUGGAACUGUUCAGCACUCGCUGAAACACAGUGUACAACACGGGACUUGACGACCAGAGCUGCUUUUGGCAAGGUGAGUAAUGAACAGCUAUAGAAGG